Saccostrea cuccullata (small rock oyster) is the source of this 162-nucleotide long non-coding RNA. RefSeq lists it as uncharacterized. The record is from RefSeq and is a predicted model, not a curated record. Lineage: Eukaryota; Metazoa; Mollusca; Bivalvia; Ostreida; Ostreidae. The transcript is spliced from 4 exons.
AGAUUUCGAGUUCAAAUGGAUAUAUAGAAUUGGAGAGGUCAGAGACCAACAAUCGUGGACAUUUUCAAACAGGUUCACAAAGAACGAAUUUAUCACAAGGUUCAAGUGGAUAUUCCCAUGCAGGGCCAAUUCAUAUUGAAAGAAUUCAAGAAAAUCCACAAG